Molecule: ribosomal RNA, 484 nt
Filed under: uncultured bacterium
Lineage: Bacteria
Description: partial 16S ribosomal RNA
Rfam family: Bacterial small subunit ribosomal RNA
Source: RNAcentral
AUUGAACGCUGGCGGCAGGCCUAACACAUGCAAGUCGAGCGGAUGAAGGGAGCUUACUCCUGGAUUCAGCGGCGGACGGGUGAGUAAUGCCUAGGAAUCUGCCUGGUAGUGGGGGAUAACGUCCGGAAACGGGCGCUAAUACCGCAUACGUCCUGAGGGAGAAAGUGGGGGAUCUUCGGACCUCACGCUAUCAGAUGAGCCUAGGUCGGAUUAGCUAGUUGGUGGGGUAAAGGCCUACCAAGGCGACGAUCCGUAACUGGUCUGAGAGGAUGAUCAGUCACACUGGAACUGAGACACGGUCCAGACUCCUACGGGAGGCAGCAGUGGGGAAUAUUGGACAAAGGGCGAAAGCCUGAUCCAGCCAUGCCGCGUGUGUGAAGAAGGUCUUCGGAUUGUAAAGCACUUUAAGUUGGGAGGAAGGGCAGUAAGUUAACACCUUGCUGUUUUGACGUUACCAACAGAAUAAGCACCGGCUAACUUCGUG